UUAAGCGACUAAGCGUACACGGUGGAUGCCCUGGCAGUCAGAGGCGAUGAAGGACGUGCUAAUCUGCGAUAAGCGUCGGUAAGGUGAUAUGAACCGUUAUAACCGGCGAUUUCCGAAUGGGGAAACCCAGUGUGAUUCGUCACACUAUCAUUAACUGAAUCCAUAGGUUAAUGAGGCGAACCGGGGGAACUGAAACAUCUAAGUACCCCGAGGAAAAGAAAUCAACCGAGAUUCCCCCAGUAGCGGCGAGCGAACGGGGAGCAGCCCAGAGCCUGAAUCAGUGUGUGUGUUAGUGGAAGCGUCUGGAAAGGCGUGCGAUACAGGGUGACAGCCCCGUACACAAAAAUGCACAUAUUGUGAGCUCGAUGAGUAGGGCGGGACACGUGGUAUCCUGUCUGAAUAUGGGGGGACCAUCCUCCAAGGCUAAAUACUCCUGACUGACCGAUAGUGAACCAGUACCGUGAGGGAAAGGCGAAAAGAACCCCGGCGAGGGGAGUGAAAAAGAACCUGAAACCGUGUACGUACAAGCAGUGGGAGCACGCUUAGGCGUGUGACUGCGUACCUUUUGUAUAAUGGGUCAGCGACUUAUAUUCUGUAGCAAGGUUAACCGAAUAGGGGAGCCGAAGGGAAACCGAGUCUUAACUGGGCGUUAAGUUGCAGGGUAUAGACCCGAAACCCGGUGAUCUAGCCAUGGGCAGGUUGAAGGUUGGGUAACACUAACUGGAGGACCGAACCGACUAAUGUUGAAAAAUUAGCGGAUGACUUGUGGCUGGGGGUGAAAGGCCAAUCAAACCGGGAGAUAGCUGGUUCUCCCCGAAAGCUAUUUAGGUAGCGCCUCGUGAAUUCAUCUCCGGGGGUAGAGCACUGUUUCGGCAAGGGGGUCAUCCCGACUUACCAACCCGAUGCAAACUGCGAAUACCGGAGAAUGUUAUCACGGGAGACACACGGCGGGUGCUAACGUCCGUCGUGAAGAGGGAAACAACCCAGACCGCCAGCUAAGGUCCCAAAGUCAUGGUUAAGUGGGAAACGAUGUGGGAAGGCCCAGACAGCCAGGAUGUUGGCUUAGAAGCAGCCAUCAUUUAAAGAAAGCGUAAUAGCUCACUGGUCGAGUCGGCCUGCGCGGAAGAUGUAACGGGGCUAAACCAUGCACCGAAGCUGCGGCAGCGACGCUGAUGCGUUGUUGGGUAGGGGAGCGUUCUGUAAGCCUGCGAAGGUGUGCUGUGAGGCAUGCUGGAGGUAUCAGAAGUGCGAAUGCUGACAUAAGUAACGAUAAAGCGGGUGAAAAGCCCGCUCGCCGGAAGACCAAGGGUUCCUGUCCAACGUUAAUCGGGGCAGGGUGAGUCGACCCCUAAGGCGAGGCCGAAAGGCGUAGUCGAUGGGAAACAGGUUAAUAUUCCUGUACUUGGUGUUACUGCGAAGGGGGGACGGAGAAGGCUAUGUUGGCCGGGCGACGGUUGUCCCGGUUUAAGCGUGUAGGCUGGUUUUCCAGGCAAAUCCGGAAAAUCAAGGCUGAGGCGUGAUGACGAGGCACUACGGUGCUGAAGCAACAAAUGCCCUGCUUCCAGGAAAAGCCUCUAAGCAUCAGGUAACAUCAAAUCGUACCCCAAACCGACACAGGUGGUCAGGUAGAGAAUACCAAGGCGCUUGAGAGAACUCGGGUGAAGGAACUAGGCAAAAUGGUGCCGUAACUUCGGGAGAAGGCACGCUGAUAUGUAGGUGAAGUCCCUCGCGGAUGGAGCUGAAAUCAGUCGAAGAUACCAGCUGGCUGCAACUGUUUAUUAAAAACACAGCACUGUGCAAACACGAAAGUGGACGUAUACGGUGUGACGCCUGCCCGGUGCCGGAAGGUUAAUUGAUGGGGUCAGCGCAAGCGAAGCUCUUGAUCGAAGCCCCGGUAAACGGCGGCCGUAACUAUAACGGUCCUAAGGUAGCGAAAUUCCUUGUCGGGUAAGUUCCGACCUGCACGAAUGGCGUAAUGAUGGCCAGGCUGUCUCCACCCGAGACUCAGUGAAAUUGAACUCGCUGUGAAGAUGCAGUGUACCCGCGGCAAGACGGAAAGACCCCGUGAACCUUUACUAUAGCUUGACACUGAACAUUGAGCCUUGAUGUGUAGGAUAGGUGGGAGGCUUUGAAGUGUGGACGCCAGUCUGCAUGGAGCCGACCUUGAAAUACCACCCUUUAAUGUUUGAUGUUCUAACGUUGACCCGUAAUCCGGGUUGCGGACAGUGUCUGGUGGGUAGUUUGACUGGGGCGGUCUCCUCCUAAAGAGUAACGGAGGAGCACGAAGGUUGGCUAAUCCUGGUCGGACAUCAGGAGGUUAGUGCAAUGGCAUAAGCCAGCUUGACUGCGAGCGUGACGGCGCGAGCAGGUGCGAAAGCAGGUCAUAGUGAUCCGGUGGUUCUGAAUGGAAGGGCCAUCGCUCAACGGAUAAAAGGUACUCCGGGGAUAACAGGCUGAUACCGCCCAAGAGUUCAUAUCGACGGCGGUGUUUGGCACCUCGAUGUCGGCUCAUCACAUCCUGGGGCUGAAGUAGGUCCCAAGGGUAUGGCUGUUCGCCAUUUAAAGUGGUACGCGAGCUGGGUUUAGAACGUCGUGAGACAGUUCGGUCCCUAUCUGCCGUGGGCGCUGGAGAAUUGAGGGGGGCUGCUCCUAGUACGAGAGGACCGGAGUGGACGCAUCACUGGUGUUCGGGUUGUCAUGCCAAUGGCACUGCCCGGUAGCUAAAUGCGGAAGAGAUAAGUGCUGAAAGCAUCUAAGCACGAAACUUGCCCCGAGAUGAGUUCUCCCUGACUCCUUGAGAGUCCUGAAGGAACGUUGAAGACGACGACGUUGAUAGGCCGGGUGUGUAAGCGCAGCGAUGCGUUGAGCUAACCGGUACUAAUGAACCGUGAGGCUUAACCUU
This 2902-nucleotide ribosomal RNA is filed under the name Escherichia coli. RNAcentral's name for it is "23S ribosomal RNA". It matches the Rfam family "Bacterial large subunit ribosomal RNA". The record is from RNAcentral. Lineage: Bacteria; Pseudomonadati; Pseudomonadota; Gammaproteobacteria; Enterobacterales; Enterobacteriaceae.